AGAGUUUGAUCAUGGCUCAGGAUGAACGCUAGCGACAGGCUUAACACAUGCAGGUCGAGGGGCAGCGGGGGAGUAGCAAUACUUCGCCGGCGACCGGCGCACGGGUGAGUAACACGUGUGCAACCAACCCCGUACCGGGAGAUAACCCGCGGAAACGUGGACUAACAUCCCAUAAGACUCUAGAGCCGCAUGGCUCUGGAUUUAAAAUUCCGGUGGUACGGGACGGGCACGCGCGACAUUAGGUAGUUGGCGGGGUAACGGCCCACCAAG
This 270-nucleotide ribosomal RNA is filed under the name uncultured bacterium. RNAcentral describes it as "partial 16S ribosomal RNA". It matches the Rfam family "Bacterial small subunit ribosomal RNA", at positions 8 to 272 of the family's 1533-position model. The record is from RNAcentral.